Molecule: ribosomal RNA, 234 nt
Filed under: uncultured bacterium
Lineage: Bacteria
Description: partial 16S ribosomal RNA
Rfam family: Bacterial small subunit ribosomal RNA
Source: RNAcentral
CGGCGACGGGUGAGUAACGCGUAGGAAUCUACCCAGUAGUGGGGGACAACAGUCGGAAACGGCUGCUAAUACCGCAUACGCCCUAUGGGGGAAAGCGGGGGACCUUCGGGCCUCGCGCUAUUGGAUGAGCCUGCGUCGGAUUAGCUUGUUGGUGAGGUAAAGGCUCACCAAGGCGACGAUCCGUAGCUGGUCUGAGAGGAUGAUCAGCCACACUGGAACUGAGACACGGUCCAG